Molecule: ribosomal RNA, 206 nt
Filed under: uncultured bacterium
Lineage: Bacteria
Description: partial 16S ribosomal RNA
Rfam family: Bacterial small subunit ribosomal RNA
Source: RNAcentral
UGCGUAGGUGGUUGUAUAAGUUAUCUGUAAAAGCCCUGGGCUCAACCUGGGAAGGCCAGAUAAAAACUGUAUGACUCGAGUAUAGGAGAGGGUAGUGGAAUUUCCGGUGUAGCGGUGAAAUGCGUAGAGAUCGGAAGGAACACCAGUGGCGAAGGCGGCUACCUGGCCUAAUACUGACACUGAGGCACGAAAGCGUGGGGAGAAAC